AUUUUACAAUAAAUAUGCCCUUCAUGAGUGUUUUUUUAAUUCCUUUCCACUUUGUUUUCCUUCAUUCAGCUUUCUUCGAGAAACAACUAAUAGCUGGCAUGCUGCACAUGUUUCCGCCAGGGUUGCAGCAUGUGGGUUUUUCGUUUUUCGUAGCGAAUUACGAAAAUUCG
Rhagoletis zephyria (snowberry fruit fly) is the source of this 170-nucleotide long non-coding RNA. RefSeq lists it as uncharacterized. Lineage: Eukaryota; Metazoa; Arthropoda; Insecta; Diptera; Tephritidae. The record is from RefSeq and is a predicted model, not a curated record.